GGUACGACUCUCGAUAAUGGAUAUCUUGGCUCUCACAUUGACAAAGAACAUAGAAAAAUGUGAUAUGUGGUGUGAAUUGCAGAAUCCUAUGAACCAUCGAGUCUUUGAAUGCAAGUUGCACCUAAGGCCAUCCGACCGAGGGCACGCCUGCCUGGGCAUCAC
This 162-nucleotide ribosomal RNA is filed under the name Raphia farinifera. Its description in RNAcentral is "5.8S ribosomal RNA". It matches the Rfam family "5.8S ribosomal RNA". Rfam says of the family: 5.8S ribosomal RNA (5.8S rRNA) is a component of the large subunit of the eukaryotic ribosome. It is transcribed by RNA polymerase I as part of the 45S precursor that also contains 18S and 28S rRNA. Functionally, it is thought that 5.8S rRNA may be involved in ribosome translocation. The record is from RNAcentral. Lineage: Eukaryota; Viridiplantae; Streptophyta; Magnoliopsida; Arecales; Arecaceae.